Molecule: non-coding RNA, 88 nt
Organism: Aspergillus alliaceus
Lineage: Eukaryota; Fungi; Ascomycota; Eurotiomycetes; Eurotiales; Aspergillaceae
Source: the annotation of a RefSeq genome assembly
GCCCGGUUAGCUCAGUUGGCUAGAGCGUGAGACUUUUAUCAAAUAUCUUGGUAUCUCAAUGUCGGGGGUUCGAGCCCCCCAUCGGGCG